CUGUCAGAUCCUGCGUCAGCGGAGUUGUAUUGUAAUGAAAAUGGAGAGUGGAGUGGCCAACCUCCAAAAUGCAUAGAGAUUAAAUGUGCAGUACCUCCGAUAGAAAAUGGUUAUGUGCCUGAUCACAAUAUCCGAGAGUACAAAGAACAUGAUGUCCUGGACUUUAGGUGUAAUGUUGGAUAUAAACCCACUGAAGACAGACCC
Long non-coding RNA from Perca flavescens (yellow perch), 204 nucleotides. RefSeq lists it as uncharacterized. The record is from RefSeq and is a predicted model, not a curated record. The transcript is spliced from 2 exons. Lineage: Eukaryota; Metazoa; Chordata; Actinopteri; Perciformes; Percidae.